UCUCCUCCGGCCCCCCCCUCCCCGGCGAAGGGGAAAUGAGUGUAAAGGGAGGAGAUAGGGGCAAAAAGAGGCGUCGUCGUUCCUCCUCCUUAAAGGAACCUUCCCUCCUCAGCCCCAGCGCCGCCGCCGCCGCUGCUGCUGCUCCGUGGCAAAAGGAGCCAUUGACACCGCCGGAGCCUCCACUCUAGCCGAGUCGGUCCCUCCCCGCCGUGGGGCUGGCCGGGGGGCGCGGGGGAGGGCCGCGGGGGAGGGGCGGGGGCGGGGAACAGAGGGGGCGUGGAUUCCAGCCGGGCUUGGCCAAUGGGAAGCGUUCGUACAGUCUCGGAGCCAAUGGAGCCUCCUCUUAUCGUGAAGCCCCUGCCCCCGACGCCCUGUUUCCUCUCUCGGGCUUCCUCCUUCCCCGGCGGAGGAGGAGGAGGAAAGAGGAAAGGGGGAGUGUGGCUGGGCGGGUGAUAAUGGGGAGGUAUCGGGGCAUAUAAUGGAGCCGGGGGUAGGCGAAGGAGCGGCAGUACGUAGCGAAGAUUCUAGGAGAGGAGGUGCUCGGAAGAAAGGGCGGGGGCUGCUGAUGUAAUUGGGAGAAGUGAUUAAUCCUGCCUUUUGCCGUUUCAGCCUCCCUCCACCCCAACCUUCACCUGGUUUUCUUAAACGGAACAAGGAGUGAAGGACUCAAUCUUUGGUAACUCCGGAUUUCUGUGCUCGUGCUGGAAUCAAAGGUUGUGCCGCCACCACCACCACCACCACUACCACCACCCGACUCUACACAUUUUCAACAUUAUUUCUUCCUAUGAAGUUUAACAGUUGGCUUCUGCAAAGAUUGUUUAUUCUCUGGAGCUGAAUCUCACUAAAUAGCCCUUGCCGACUUAGAACUUGCUAUAGAAACCAAGCUAGCCUACACCGUGCCUUCUGAGGGCGGAUAGUAACUGAAGCCCAGCAACAGCAAAAACUUGUGAGUCGUCUCGCCAGCAAGAAGACACGCGGACACUAGGAUCCUUCUGCAG
Mastomys coucha (southern multimammate mouse) is the source of this 998-nucleotide long non-coding RNA. RefSeq lists it as uncharacterized. NCBI's taxonomy places the organism in Eukaryota, Metazoa, Chordata, Mammalia, Rodentia, Muridae. The transcript has 4 exons. The record is from RefSeq and is a predicted model, not a curated record.